Molecule: unclassified non-coding RNA, 230 nt
Filed under: Homo sapiens (human)
Lineage: Eukaryota; Metazoa; Chordata; Mammalia; Primates; Hominidae
Description: DLGAP2 antisense RNA 1 (ENSG00000282001.1)
Source: RNAcentral
GGAAUCUCCUCAUCUUUGCCACCGGUGGGGUACCCUCCCCACUCAUCCUGAGGUACCUGGGAGCAGACAGACAUGAAACACGCAUCAACUUUGUCACUGAGAACGGCAGCAUCAGCUCCUUUUUGGAAACAAAUCCUCUACAAUUCCAUAAAGAUACACCUCUUUACAGUCAUUUAUCAGUUAAAGUCAGAUGUAUAAAAAUGCAUAUCCUAAAAGGAAAUGAAUAUAAA